GGGGGUAUAGCUCAGUGGUAGAGUGCAAGCUUAGCAUGCAGGAGAUCCUGGGUUCAAUCCUCAGUACCUCCA
This 72-nucleotide transfer RNA is filed under the name Camelus bactrianus (Bactrian camel). It matches the Rfam family "tRNA". Rfam says of the family: Transfer RNA (tRNA) molecules are approximately 80 nucleotides in length. Their secondary structure includes four short double-helical elements and three loops (D, anti-codon, and T loops). RNAcentral also lists the same sequence under 3 other names. Lineage: Eukaryota; Metazoa; Chordata; Mammalia; Artiodactyla; Camelidae. The record is from Rfam by way of RNAcentral.